This is a long non-coding RNA of Quercus lobata, 319 nucleotides long. RefSeq lists it as uncharacterized. The record is from RefSeq and is a predicted model, not a curated record. The transcript has 3 exons. NCBI's taxonomy places the organism in Eukaryota, Viridiplantae, Streptophyta, Magnoliopsida, Fagales, Fagaceae.
ACUUCAGUCUCACAGUUUCACGCUUCCUCUUCAGACUUCCCUGACUUCUUCGGUCUUCUCAGUUCUCACCACUCUCUCAAUCCCUCAUGCCUCUGCUCUCUUCUAUUCAAUCUUUGGCUUUUCGCCUCAGUUCUCAUCUCUCUCUUUUUAUAAAUCAACAAGCAACAGGAAGUGCAGCAGCAAGUCCUAGCUCAGGCAAACGUCCCUUAAUUUGUAUUGAUUGACUUGGAGGAAGGUCAUUCAUUUUGGAAAGGAGGCAGCCUUUUGGAAACAUUUUAGAUAUUGCUUGUCUAACUAUACUCAACUCUUAAUGCAUAUA